Molecule: ribosomal RNA, 484 nt
Filed under: uncultured bacterium
Lineage: Bacteria
Description: partial 16S ribosomal RNA
Rfam family: Bacterial small subunit ribosomal RNA
Source: RNAcentral
AUUGAACGCUGGCGGCAUGCUUUACACAUGCAAGUCGAACGGCAGCGCGGGCUUCGGCCUGGCGGCGAGUGGCGAACGGGUGAGUAAUGCAUCGGAACGUGCCCAGUAGUGGGGGAUAGCCCGGCGAAAGCCGGAUUAAUACCGCAUACGACCUGAGGGUGAAAGCGGGGGACCGAAAGGCCUCGCGCUAUCGGAGCGGCCGAUGUCGGAUUAGCUAGUUGGUGGGGUAAAGGCUUACCAAGGCGACGAUCCGUAGCUGGUCUGAGAGGACGACCAGCCACACUGGGACUGAGACACGGCCCAGACUCCUACGGGAGGCAGCAGUGGGGAAUUUUGGACAAUGGGGGCAACCCUGAUCCAGCCAUGCCGCGUGCGGGAAGAAGGCCUUCGGGUUGUAAACCGCUUUUGUUCGGGAAGAAAUGCUCUGGGCUAAUACCCCGGGGGGAUGACGGUACCGGAAGAAUAAGCACCGGCUAACUACGUG